GUCUAAGUAUAAACAAUUCUAUACUGUGAAACUGCGAAUGGCUCAUUAAAUCAGUUAUAGUUUAUUUGAUAAUAUCUACUACUCGGAUAACCGUGGUAAUUCUAGAGCUAAUACGUGCGUAAAAACCCGACUCACGAAGGGUUGUAUUUAUUAGAUACAAAACCAAUGCAGCGCAAGCUGGUUUUUUGGUGAUUCAUAAUAACUUCUCGGAUCGCAUGGCUCACGCCGGCGACGUUUCAUUCAAAUUUCUGCCCUAUCAACUUUCGAUGGUAAGGUAUUGGCUUACCAUGGUUACAACGGGUAACGGAGAAUUAGGGUUCGAUUCCGGAGAGGGAGCCUGAGAAACGGCUACCACUUCCAAGGAAGGCAGCAGGUGCGCAAAUUACCCAAUCCUGACACAGGGAGGUAGUGACAAAAAAUAACAAUACAGGACUUUUAAAGCCUUGUAAUUGGAAUGAGUACAAUUUAAACCCCUUAACGAGUAACAAUUGGAGGGCAAGUCUGGUGCCAGCAGCCGCGGUAAUUCCAGCUCCAAUAGCGUAUAUUAAAGUUGUUGCAGUUAAAAAGCUCGUAGUUGGAUUUUAGAUUAUGUUAAUCGGUCUGCCUAGUGGUAUGAACUGAUUAGCAUUUUCUUCUUCUCGAG
RNAcentral lists this ribosomal RNA (643 nucleotides) under uncultured eukaryote. Its description in RNAcentral is "SSU rRNA". It matches the Rfam family "Eukaryotic small subunit ribosomal RNA", at positions 57 to 702 of the family's 1831-position model. The record is from RNAcentral.